CCCGUGCUUGGAAGAGCAGUUACCAAAUAGGCUUGGGUAAAACCGGACAGGCCAGGAGCGGGGCCUUAGCACUCUGGUGUCUGCUCCUGUGGCUGUGGGAUGCAUUGGAGGCAGCAGGAUUUCGGGUGGAGAUGGCAGGGAGGACUCAGACCGUGUUUCUCAACGACAACAUCACCAUCACCUGCAAGAUCCCUGGUUCUCCCGCUCUGGACAUCAGCACUGUGGGUGUUGUCUGGUUUGUGAGGAAAAAGGAACAGAGGAGAAAGUUCCUGUGUUUGAGUAUUAUGGAGAUCACGAGAAGGCAUACCGAACUGGAGCCAACAUCUCUCCGGAGAAGCUGAUGAGGGGAGAGGCCUCACUGCACCUGCCAGCCAUUCAGCUCAGUGAUGCUGGAGAGUACUUCUGUAAGGUGGUGGUCACCCCUGAGAUGGAUGAGAAAAGUGUGCAGCUGGAAGUUGUGGGUGAGUGCCUGAGGGCAAUGCCCGGGAUCCCGUGGGGCUGCAGGUGCAGAGUGGGAUGGAUGUUAGAGGCUGGUCUGGGGACCCACCGUGGGCUAGAGAGCUGGGCUUUGGUGGGUGGUGAGAUGACUCUGGGCAAGGUGUGAAGCCUCUGAAUCUCGGUGCCCUUGCUAGAAACAAAUGUGAUGGCAUCU
Ochotona curzoniae (black-lipped pika) is the source of this 652-nucleotide long non-coding RNA. RefSeq lists it as uncharacterized. Lineage: Eukaryota; Metazoa; Chordata; Mammalia; Lagomorpha; Ochotonidae. The record is from RefSeq and is a predicted model, not a curated record. The transcript has 2 exons.